CCUCCUACGGGGGGGCAGCAGUGGGGAAUAUUGCACAAUGGGCGCAAGCCUGAUGCAGCCAUGCCGCGUGUAUGAAGAAGGCCUUCGGGUUGUAAAGUACUUUCAGCGGGGAGGAAGGUGUUGUGGUUAAUAACCACAGCAAUUGACGUUACCCGCAGAAGAAGCACCGGCUAACUCCGUGCCAGCAGCCGCCGUAAUACGGAGGGUGCAAGCGUUAAUCGGAAUUACUGGGCGUAAAGCGCACGCAGGCGGUCUGUCAAGUCGGAUGUGAAAUCCCCGGGCUCAACCUGGGAACUGCAUUCGAAACUGGCAGGCUAGAGUCUUGUAGAGGGGGGUAGAAUUCCAGGUGUAGCGGUGAAAUGCGUAGAGAUCUGGAGGAAUACCGGUGGCGAAGGCGGCCCCCUGGACAAAGACUGACGCUCAGGUGCGAAAGCGUGGGGAGCAAACAGGAUUAGAUACCCCGGUAGUCAG
Molecule: ribosomal RNA, 471 nt
Filed under: uncultured Enterobacteriaceae bacterium
Lineage: Bacteria; Pseudomonadati; Pseudomonadota; Gammaproteobacteria; Enterobacterales; Enterobacteriaceae
Description: bacterial SSU rRNA
Rfam family: Bacterial small subunit ribosomal RNA
Source: RNAcentral